GCCAUGGAGGGCCACUAAAGCAGGUGAUUUUAAUGAUCAACACCUUCAGUUUGAGGGAAGGAGCGCAUCAAUUAAAUCACCUGCUGAAGAAACUGGUUGGAGAGAAAAUCUGUAGCGUCUCGCCCUCCAGGGCACGAGUUUGGCACGUCUGCUCUACUACAUCAGCCCUGUGCACUUUGCUCCAAAGGCGUAAUCUCCGGCAUGCUGCGGCUCCUUCCCUUCCUAAAUCUGGCCUUAAUGGCCUCCUCCUCUCCGUCGUCGUCCUCCUCCUCGUCCGACCAAUCCACCUGCUGCUGCAGGUUCCCCCUGGAUCCCCUCAGGCCGCUUCCCUUGAAGAAGUAGCCUGUUCGGAAUUUGGUGCGGAAGGUGAUGAAGGAGAGGCUCUUGCUGCGCUGCUGCUUGAUCGGGGUGUUGUGAGGCAUCUGGUCGUCUUCUUCUCCCGAGGUCAGCUCCUCCAGGCAGUCGCGCAGCACCGAGCGGAACAGGCGGGGCACCUCGUAGACCUCGGGCUCCAUCUGGGACACCAGCCUCCUGAACCUGCCGUGGGAAGAAGACGCAGUCUCACAUCACAGCGUUCUUAGAAGUUAGCUGAACGACACGGCGGUGACGUGUGGUUGGAACUUUCAGGGGAAGUCUUUCUUUAACUUUCUUACAUUCAUAAUGGCUUUCUGCUCUCAAUUAGUGCAAAAAAAAAAAAAAACAGCACAGCGCUCCUGUUCUGAUCUUUGACUAACCUUUUUUUAGUCCUUAAAAGCAGCACAGCUCUCCUGUCACAUGGAGGAUCUUUGACGAGCGUUUUUGUCAUAGCUCUUAAAAAGAACACCGCGCUCACGUCGUACAGAAUCUUUGACUAGCGUUUUUACCACAGAUCCUUAAAAACAGCACAACACUCUUGUUAUAUGUACUGUAUAGAGGAUCUCUGACUAACAUUUUUGCAGCACGUCCAAUGCAGCGGAUCAUUUUUGUGAUAUAGAGGAUCUUUGACUCGCAUUUUUGUAGUCGCUCUUAAAACCAGCAGCAUGCUGCUGUUAUGUAGAGGAUCUUUGACUUGUGCUUUUGCAGCAUGUCAUUUUAAGAACAGCAAAAGUUUCCUGUAUAUAGAAGAUCUUUGACAUUGAUUUUUUUCCAGGAGGUGCUUAAAAACAGCAGAGUGCUCCUGGCACAUGGAGGAUCUUUGACAAGCAUUUUUGUAGUAGCUCUUAAAGACAGUAGAAUGCUCCCGCCAUAUAGAAUCUUUGGCUAGCGUUUUUGCAAAAGGUCCGCAAAAAAUAGCAGUGCGCUCCUGUUCUAUAGAGGACCGUUUUGCAGUAAUUUUUACAAUUUGCAGUAAGUCCAGUACAGCAGAGCAUUCCUGUCAUAUAGAGGAUCUUUGACUAGCAUUUUUGUAGUAGCGCUUAAAAAUAGCAGAGCGCAACUGUUAUAUAGAGGAUCUUUGACUAGUGUUUUUGCUGCAGGUCCUUAAAAACAGCAUCCUGUCAUAAAGAAGAUCUUUGACUACCUUUUUUUGCAGCAGAUCCCUCACGUUCUUCAUAGAGGAUCUUUGACUAACAUUUUUCAGCAAUUCCAGCAGAGCAUUUCUGUCUUCUACAAGAUCUUUCACCAGCAUUUUUGUCGUAGAUCCCUAAAAGCUGAGUGCUCCUGUUUAUAUAGAGGAUCUUUGACUCGCGUUUUUUUUUUUAGUAGAGCCUUAAAAGCUGUGGAACAUUUCUGUUAUAUAGAGGAUCUUUGAGGCACAUUUUUCCAGCAGGUCCUUAAAAACAGCGUGCUCCUGUCAUACAGAAGAUCUUUGACCAGCAUUUUUGCAGCAGGUCCUGAGCAUUUCUGUCAUAUAGAGGAUCUUUGACUGGCGUUUUUGUAGUAGAUCCUUAAAAACAGCAGCACUUUUCUGUUAUAUAGAAGAUCUUUGACUAACAUUUUUGCAGGACGUCCAACACACAUUCCCGCCAUAUAGAAGAUCUUUGACUGGCGUUUUUGCAGCAGGUCCUAAAAAACAACAGAGCGCUCCUGUGAUAGAGAGGAUCUCUGACGGCCAUUUUUGCACAGGUCCUUAAAAACAGCAGAGCGUUGUCUUACCUGACGAUGACCGGCCCGCACUGGGCGGGGGGGAUUUUGGCACAGAGGCCCUGCAGCUCCAGCAUGUCGUUGGGGGUCAGCUCAUACGGCUGCGGGUUCUGCGGGUUGGCCAGCCAGGUGUAGUCGGCCACGGAAGAGGAACUGCGGCGGCGGCGGCGGCCCUCAGCGGCCUGUUCCAGGCGGAUGCGUUCGGUGCGCUUCACCAUGGCGCCCAACUCCAGCAUCAGGGUGUUGGUGACCAGCUCCUCGCUGGUGCGCUGGCCCGGCACUUUUGGUUCAAGGGAGAAUACGGCUGACCAAGGAAACAUCUGGAAAACACCAUCAGAUGGGGCUAAUACUAAUACUACUUUAUAUUUAAUGCAGAGCUCUGUGUUUGGCCUUUACACCAGGGGUGUCCAAAGUGCGGCCUGGGGGCCAUUAGUGGGGACCUGCAGCAUUUUAAACAAAGGCAAAAUAUUAAAAGAAAAAAAGAUGUAAUCAAGUUUUACAAGAGUUAUGUCAUAAUAACAUCAUUUUAGUCAUAUUAUGAGAAGCAAAUAAGACAAAAAAUAAAGUUGUAAUUUUUGGAAAAUUAGGCUGAAAAAAAAGAUAUGUUACGGGAAUAAAGUCAUAAUGCAACGUGACCUGCUUGAAUGACUAUCGCCCUAUAGCACUCACUCCUAUUGUUAUGAAGCGCUUUGAAAGAAUAGUCAUGACCCACAUCAAAAAGAGCAUCCCGGCGGCAACUGUGGACCCUCUACAGUUUGCAUAUCGCCAGAACCGGUCCACGGAUGAUGCAGUCAACACUGCCAUCCACACAGCCCUUUCUCACCUACAGGGCCAGGACACAUAUGUCAGAAUGCUAUUUAUAGACUAUAGCUCUGCUUUUAAUACAGUCAGCCCCCACAAACUCACAAAUAAGCUCCUCACACUUGGCCUGUCACCCUCCCUCUGUAACUGGGUGUUUAACUUUCUCACAGGCAGGCCCCAGUCAGUCAGAGUCCACAUUCGCACAUCCAGCUCAAGAAUUGUGAGCACUGGGACCCCACAGGGGUGUGUGCUGAGUCCGCUCCUCUACACGCUCUUCACCUACGAUUGCGUGGCCUCCCAGGCCAUCAGGCUUCUCAACGAAGCACUCACACACACCGCACGCAACACACGCACACACUCAUAGCACUUUAUUAUUUAUUUAUUUAUCUGUAUUAAUGUCUCUUCUGUUGUUGUUGCUUAAUUUAUUGGUAUUUAUGUUCUUAUGUUCUUACUCUUUUUUGUGUUUUCUUUUUUUGGAGAAUGAACAGAAUAAGAAUUUCAUUGCAUAGCAGAACUACCUGUUUUACUGUGCAUAUGACAAUAAAACUCUUCAAUCUUGAACUUGAAUAAUGUAGAAGAAAGAACAUUUACAGUUGAAUUAGGAAAAAAAAAGAAAAAACAAGGGCUUAUAUUGAAAAAAUGACAAUUUUACGAGAAUAAAGUCAAAAUAUUAAGAGAAAAAAAUCAUAUUCUAACAAAUAAGGAAAAAAGUCUCAGUUUGACAAGAAUUCCAAUUUACAUGACAAUUCAUGGGGAAAAAUAUUAAAGAAAAAAGUCAUAACAUUAUGAGAAACAAACAAAACAAAGAAUAAAGUUGUCAUUUCUGGGAAAUUAGGUUGCAAAAUCUGUUAUGUUACAGGAAUAAAGUCCAAAUAUUAUGGGAAGAAAGUCAUCAUUUACAAAGAAAAAAAAUGUACUUGACGAAAGUUGAAAUAUUUGAAACAACAGCAGAAAUAUUUUUUUGAAGUCGUAAUUGUCACGCUUCGCAGGACAGGAGCGUGUACUUCCUGUCCUGCGCCAUUAUUCUGACAAGCGGUGCUUCCGGUGUGGCGGAAGGAACUGCCGCUCCACGCCUGGUGGCCGCACAGCUGCGGUCAAUACUAAUCAGUGACAGUUAAAAGACCAGCGCUGGUUCAUUGUGGUUGUCACUGUCAUUGAACCUCGUUGACUUUCCAGUGCUGUCACCUGUUUAUAUUUGGUAUUAUUUUUCCCACAGAGCUUUUCCUCUGUCACUUUUAGUUUUUUCUUGUCUUCUGCAAUAAAAUUACUUUUAUUUUUGCA
This is a long non-coding RNA of Dunckerocampus dactyliophorus (ringed pipefish), 4143 nucleotides long. RefSeq lists it as uncharacterized. NCBI's taxonomy places the organism in Eukaryota, Metazoa, Chordata, Actinopteri, Syngnathiformes, Syngnathidae. The record is from RefSeq and is a predicted model, not a curated record. The transcript is spliced from 2 exons.